UUUCCGUAGGUGAACCUGCGGAAGGAUCAUUACCGAGUGAGGGUCCUCUGGGCCCGACCUCCCAACCCUAUGUUUAUUGUACCUUAUGUUGCUUCGGCGGACCCGCCUCACGGCCGCCGGAGGGUCUUAGGUGACCCUCUGGCCCGCGUCCGCCGACGGCCAACCAAUUAAACUCUGAAUGAAUCGUGUCAUUAUGUCUAAGUCUAUGAUUAAAUUAAAGCAAAACUUUCAACAACGGAUCUCUUGGUUCUGGCAUCGAUGAAGAACGCAGC
This 272-nucleotide unclassified non-coding RNA is filed under the name uncultured fungus. Its description in RNAcentral is "sequence contains ITS1, 5.8S rRNA gene". The stretch from base 224 to 272 matches the Rfam family "5.8S ribosomal RNA", at positions 1 to 49 of the family's 154-position model. The record is from RNAcentral. Lineage: Eukaryota; Fungi.